RNAcentral lists this microRNA precursor (123 nucleotides) under Canis lupus familiaris (dog). RNAcentral's name for it is "miRNA (ENSCAFG00000058054.1, ENSCAFG00845005852.1)". Lineage: Eukaryota; Metazoa; Chordata; Mammalia; Carnivora; Canidae. The record is from RNAcentral.
CGAUGAGAGAACUACCAUCCACAAAGAGGAUUCAGUCAGGGUUAGGGAGGGGUUGAUCGGAAACUCCUGGAUGUGGAGGGGUCAGCUCUUCCAGGAGUUGAGGGCAGGAAAGGGAGGGUUCUG